This 285-nucleotide ribosomal RNA is filed under the name Amanita sp. 'cornelihybrida'. RNAcentral describes it as "partial large subunit ribosomal RNA". It matches the Rfam family "Bacterial large subunit ribosomal RNA", at positions 600 to 869 of the family's 2925-position model. The record is from RNAcentral. Lineage: Eukaryota; Fungi; Basidiomycota; Agaricomycetes; Agaricales; Amanitaceae.
UGUACUUUUGCAUAAUGGGUCAGCUAGUUAAUAGGAGUAGCAAGGUUAAAAGCCCUAGCGAAAGCGACUGGACUAAACUAAAUAAAAAUGAUAAUAUAAAAAUUUAAAUUUUUAUUUAAAUAGUGAUGGAUAAGUUACUUCUAUUAGACCCGAAGCCAGGUGAUCUUACCAAGACCAGAUUAUAAUGGAUCGAACGGUUGAAUGUUGCAUAAUUCUCCGAUGAGUUUUGGUAAGCGGUGAAAUGCCAAUCUGACCUGGUGAUAGCUGGUUUUCUACGAAACAUAA